GCUACAACUGGCCAAUAGUAGACCGAUUAUAUUGUCUACUAAUCCAUUGAGGGUUUGGGAUCUAGAUCUCUGAGGGAGCACCCUUCCCCAUGAAAUCAUGAAUCUUUUGGAAGAGGAAUCUUUUGGAAUCUAUUUGGUCUUCUUGAGGUGAUUCCUUCUUAUAAUAUUCAAAGUCCCCUAAUAUUUCUCAUUUCAUUCAAAAUGAAUAAUCCUUCGUAUAUAGCUCCAGGUGCUUUUUGUAGUAAACUCUGAUUUAUAAUCUGAUCAUGUCUAAGAAGAUAAAAUGAAAUAAUAUCCUCAUUUGACAAGCAGAAGAAACUAAUAGAAACAGAGGUUAAGAAAGCACCCUAGGGACUUAUGAGAAAGAGCGCUAUCCACAUCUGGAGGAAGAACUGGGAGUAGAAACACAGAAGAAAAACAACUGCUCGAUCACAUGGGUCGAUGGGGAUAUGAUUAGGGAUUUAGACUCUAAACCAUCCGGCUAGUGCAAAUGCUAAUAAUAUGGGGAAAGGUCUUGAUCAAUGACACAUGUAAAACCCAGUGGAAUUGUUCCUUGACUAUGGAAGGGGGAUGAGAAGAGGGGAGGGAAAGAACAUAAUUCAUGUAACUGAAAAAAUAUUCUUAAUUAAUUAAUUUAAUGUAAUGUUUCAAUUUUUAAAAGCACCCUAAAAUCAGUCACAGUUCAGGAUCUAAGGGGGGAAGGAAUUGAGCAUAUGUAUAGUAUUUACUAUGUGCCACACACUUUUUAGAAUAUGCCUUUGAAGUGGGAGGGAACUUGGAGAUAUUUAGUCCAAAUUGUUCAUUUUAUAGAUGAAGAAAUGGAGGCAUCAGAUUUCCCUAUUUUCCAGGGAGAACUGUUCUCCACACUGUUAUUUCUCAACUGCCAAUGGUCUGUUACUAAUGGAAAUCCUUGCUUCUUUUUAAAUUAAGUAAUACUGUAUGGAUGUAACUUUAAACAACAAUUAAAAUGAGAUUUUACUACUUUUAUUUUGAAAACCAAUUAGAAAAUACACAUGUGGUUUACGCAUUUAUACAUUAUAUAUAUAUAUAUAUACACCUACAAUUGUGUUUUAUAAAAUGUUCACAAAAAUAGAAAAAUUUUAAAGAUAAUUAAGAUGAAAGAAAAGAUUCCACUAAUUUUCAUUCAAUCAGCAAUGGAUCUAGUUCCUUAUUUCUUCUCAACUUCUUUAUGAUUGACCUUUCACUUUUAGUUAUUUUUGCCAUUUUAAUAGAAGUGCAAGAAUGUUUCACAUUUUUUAAUGGGAUUUCUUUAUGAAAAAGAUUUAAUGAUACUUCGCAAUUUUUCAUAUCUGUUGACCAGACCUUAAUGGGAACUCGAGGUUGCCCUUGAUUUGGAGCAAAUUCCUUAUACAUUUUAGGGGUUAAAUUUGUAUCUGUCGUUUUUGUCAUAUAGUUUUCCCAGUCCUUGGUUGUUUUUCUUAUCUUAUUGCGUGGUUUUGUUUUUCAGGUAAGUGAUCUAAUUUAUUUUUAAAGGUCCUUAUGUAAAACCCUUAUUUUCUGUCUUAGAAUUGAUAAGUAUAUAUAAAUAAGUAUAUGUUUAUAUACAAGUACAUAUAGAUAAGUAUAUAGGUUCAUAUAUGUAUAUAUAAGCAAGCAUUGAUUUAUAAGACAGAAGAGCAGCAAAGGUUAGACAACUGGGGUUAAGUAACUUGUCCAAAGUCAUAUAGAUAGGUAAUGCCUGAGGGCAGAUUUGAACUCAGUUCCUCCUGACCACAGGCCUGGCACUCUAUCCACUAUGCCAUGUAGCUGCCCUGUAAUACACAUACACACAUACAUAUUUUUUUAAGGACCCCUUCCUGUGUCCUACUUUUUCCACCCCUGAUUUCCUCCAAGUCCUCUCCUCCUGGUCUUGCACCUUCAGCUUCUGAGCUGAUAACCACACUGCUCCUAGAGAAGACAACUAGAUGCCAGUGUAGUUUUGUUAGGAAGUACUACACUACACUUCCAUUUUUCCUCCUCCAAAGAUCUAAUCUUUGCUUCCUGCUCCCUUCUCAGCACCUGGCCUCCCUUGUGCUGUUUUCUCUCUCCUCCUGUGAGCCACUGCAAACGCUGGGGUUCUCAGACUUCUUCAAGGAGUAUAGAAAGUAGUCAGAAAGGGUAGGGUUCCAUUAGUUUGGCUUCAUUACAAAGUAGACAGAAAAUAACUACCUGGAAUGUUGAUUGUGGCUAGUGGUUGAGAGCCAUGACAUUCAUGAGAGUCAUGAAUCCAUGAGAGGAUUCAAAAGGUAACAUGACCAAUUUGUAAUGCAAAACAUUUCAGAAUCUGAAUGUGUUUUGUCCUGAAAAGUAGCCAUUGUGAGAGACUUUACCAGUUCAGUCUUCCCUUGGAAUUGUCAUUAUAAUUUGUGAUGCAAAGUGGCACAUCUUAAUAAAUCGUAAUAACAAAAUAAUAAUAGCAGUAAUAUUAAUAGUCAACCCAGUGCUUAAGGUUUACAAAGGAUGUUAAAUGUAUUAUUUUACAUCUUUUGAAGGAAAACAGCUAAUAGACAUAUGCAAUUAAUUAUGAAUUGGGUGGGUAAACAGGCUAGCUUCUUGGUUCAAAAGCAGGAAUCAAUAUAAAGCGAUGAGAUACUUCAUUUUAGGGUCUGUGAAAUGAUGCUCUAGCUAUGUCUUUUUUUUUUUAAUCCUUACCUUCCAAUACUGUGUAUUGGAUCCAAAGCAGAAGAGCAGUAAGGGCUGGGCAAUGGGGGUUAAGUGACUUGCCCAGGGUCACACAGUUGGGAAGUGUCUGAGGCCACAUUUGAACCCAGGACCUCCCAUCUCUAGGAAUGGCUCUCAAUCCACCAAGCCACCCAGCUGCCCCCUCUAGCUAUUUCUUUUUAAAAGGGGGACCUUGAAGCAUUUAGGUUAUCAGAGACAAAUGAGAUCAUUUAGGCAGAGCAUUUGGUAGCCAUGAAAUCUCCAUGUAAAUCAUCACUAGUAACUGUGACUUUGAAAGGGACAAUACCUAUUUAGAUGAAGAAAUCCUGUUGCUGUUUAAUCAGUCCCUUUACUUCCUAGCAGUUCAUGGUAUCAGAAUGUGCACCUUUGUAUGGGCUAUACUGUGCAGGCACACACCAUCCAUCCUUAUCCACAAUAAAAUAAGACUGGGGAAAACGCAUUCCACAAGGUUAAGAGCUCAAACCCCAGAAAAUUAAGAUUAACCUGUUGUUCAAAAUAGAUGUUCAGAUUUGCCUUGGACUAAAAUGAGGAAAUUAUUUUGAACUAAGACCUAUGUAGCCAUCUGCUAUAUGCUCUGCUACCUAGUCCAUCCUUUAUUGAACAGACUGAUCUGUUACAUUCCUUUUUUUAAUUUUAAAAGUUUUCUGGGUUCUGUUCCUUGAUCUCUCACUUCUCUGUUAAAAGGUAGGUAGUAUGCAUUACUAUUAGCUCUCUGGAUCAUAGCUUUUAAGUUGUUUUCUUUAUAAUGUUAUUACUUUAUAAAUUGUUCUUCUGGUGCUGCCCCUUUCAUUCUACAUCAAUUCUUGAAAGUCUUCCUAGAUUUCUCUAAAAAUCAUCUUUCGUCAUAUCUCAUGGUGCAAUAGUAUUCUAUCAUAUUCACAUCAUAAUUUACUUGUUCCUUUAAUUGAUGGGCAUCCUUUUAGGUCCCAGUUGUUUUUAACACUGUAAAGAGCUGCUAUAAAGAUUUUAUAUUUUUAAAAAUUAUAUUAUUUGUUAUUUUUUCCUAUCUAUUUUUAAUGAAGCCAAAAGCAAUCUAAUCCUCCCCUUUGUGGCUCUACUUUCCAGACUUCUUGAUUGCAGUGGCUCACAGAAAGAGAAAACCACAUAAGGGCAUGUGGUGAGAAGGGAGCAGGAGGGAAAGAUUAAAUCUUUAGAGGAACAAGAAUGUUUUUUGAAAACAACUUUAAAAACUACUUAUUCAAGAGAUAAACAGUUUUAUCUCUUUAGAGUUUCUGCCUAUUAGUGGUAUCAAACCCAUAUCACCAUCCAACAUACUGACUGAAGUCAUAGAAUCUGGGUUCAAACUUUAUACUUAGCAGUGACUAUGGGCAAGCCACUUCUUCUGGGUCUCAAUUUCUUCAUCCGUAAAAUGAGGGAGUAUAGUUUUUAAGGUUCCUUCCAGUUCUAAAUCUGUAAUACUAUAAACCACCACCUCCUCUCUUCUGCUGUCCCUCCCCUUCCAGCUAACCUAUCCCAGCACUUUUCAAUUGCUCUUGUUUCCCUGGAAUUCUUUGCAGUGGAAAUUAUAGUGAAGCCAGCUAGGCCCCCUAGCUCCUCCAGUCUAUCCAGACCUGCCCCUAAGGAUAAAACUUCUGAAGAUGAAUGGUCCUUACCUCUUCUAUUGUGAGCUAAAGGUUUCCUUUGCAUCAAAGUGCUUAGAAAGGUCCUCAACAUAUAGACUCGAAACGAUCACCCUAGUGCCAUUAUUAUUAAUAAUAUGGAAAUGGGUCUUGAUCAACGACACAUGUAAAACCCAGUGGAAUUGCAUGUCACCUAUGGGAGGGAGUAGGUGGAGGGGAGGGAAAGAGCAUGAAUCAUGGAACCAUGGAAAAAUAUUCUAAAUCAAUUAAUUAAAUAUUUAAAAAAUUAAGGUCCCCAACUCCAUUUCUAAUCUGAAAUAAUUUGGGUUUGCCUUUCUGCAGGAAAUAUAUCACCACUAGACUUUAGCUCCACAAAGGUGGGAAACUUUCAAAAGUCAAGAAAGGUGAAAAGAGUGGAGGAAACAAUUUCUCCCACCCAAAUGUCUUCCCCAAAUGCCUUUCAGAUGUAAAUAAUUUGUCAGAUUACUAGUUGGGCCAGACAUUUGAGAGGCUUGGGGUGGGGUAGCAUAAAAUUGUAGUUGGAACAACCAUUUCAUGCCCUUGGCUAAAUUAUAGGCUCCUUUUCAAAAUGGUAUCCCACUGCCACUGCAAAAACCCAUGCCUCCGAAGGACACAGUGUCCUAGGAUGGGAACUUGAGAGAUUUCCAGAGCUUCCAGCCACCCCAAGAACAAAGGAAGAAUACCAUUAUGAUAUCCUGGAAGGAGUAUCUUCAAAACUUAUUCCUAGCACUGUCUGCUGGGGAAACCCAAACAAUAUAUUUUUCUUCCAAUCAUUUAUAUAAAAGGCUUUAAUCAACUCCUCUUUUCUCUGGGGCUGCUCAAAGGUUUGGAAUUUUCUUUUUUAAACCCUUACCUUCUGUCUUUGUAUCAAUCCUAAGAAAGAAGAGUGGUAAGAGCUAGGUCAUGGGGAUUAAUAGUGACUCAACUUUGUAUAGUAAGUUACUAUCAUGGGGAUAGCUGGGUGGCUCAGUGGACAGAGCCUAGAUAUGGGAGGUCCUGGGUUUAAAUGUGGCCUCAAACACUUCCUAGCUAUGUGACCCUGGGCAAGUCACUUUACCCCUAUUGUCUAGCCCUUACCACUCCUGCCUUGGAGCCAGUACACUGUAGUGAUUCAAAAAUAGAAGGUAAGGGCUUAAAAAAAAGUUAAAAUCACAAAGAACUUUCAUCUACAUUAUAUCAGUGUCUUGCAAUCAUUGAUUACCAAGGGAGGCUCCUUACAACCUGGAUACAAGGCAUGCCCAGGAGGAUAAGGAAUGGCCUAGAAGGUAGUGUCAAGGAUGAAAGACUAAACUGAUAACCUAAAAUCCUCCUUGCUUAGCCUUGCAUUGCUUAUAGUGUGUCUAAGACUUUAAACUGCUUGCAAAACUGACUAACUUGAAAACAAGUUAUGUGUAAACAUUCCAGGCUUUUGUUUUGGUUUUUAGUAUCCAUCUAAGGGGAGACUAUUGAGUAAUGGACUUGGAGUAAGGAACAUCUCUGGUUUGAACCCUUAAGACAUUUAUUAUCCUGGGCAAGUCACUUGACCUCUGUAUAUCUUGAGUAGAUGACAUUGAUUUGCAUUGUUAAGAGGAACUUUCCAAACCCAGGAUGCCCCAGGCUGAUGAAAUUCUCAAAAACUAAUUACUUCCACAUCAGAUAACUUCUUAAUUGUGUGACCCUGGGCAAGUCACUUAACCCCCAUUGCCCAGCCCUUCUUGCUCUUCUGCCUUGGAAUCAAUGCACAGUAUUGAAUCUAACAGGGAAGGUGAGGGUUAAAAAAAAAACUGAUUAAUCUACAAGAGCUAUUUAAUGAUCUGUAAAAUGGAGAGGUUGGACUAAAUGACCUCCAGGUUUCCUUCACCUCUAGGGUUAGGGUAGGUACAGCAAAUAUUCUACCCAUUUUACAGAUGAAGAAACAGGCUCAGGAGGUUGUGAUUUGCUUCUAGUCACAGCUAGCAAGAGGCAUAGCUAGAGGGUGAAAUGUAAAUGUCUAGGCUUCUUCUUCCUCCCUCUGCAGGCUGACAGAUCUGAAGUGAGCUGUCCUUUGGUUUGGGUUUGGGUUUUUUAAACCCUUAUUUCUGCCUUAGUAGACAUUCAGAGUCAGAGGAGUAGCAAGGGCUAGGCUAUUAGGGAUAAACAAUUUGCCCAAGUUCACACAACUAGGAGGUAUCUAAGGUCAGAUUUGAACCCAGGUCCUCCCCACUCCAGGUCUGCUGCUCUCUCCACUAUGUUACCUAGCCACCCCAACGAUUUGCCUUUUGGAUGAAGGUGAAAUGAACUUGGCAGUGGCCACCGAGUCCCAGAAUUAGGUUUCCUUACAACUGGAAUGUCAUCCACAAGAUCCAGAAACACACAAUUCCUCAUCGGUGUUUCACGCUCCCGUCUCAGACUCGGCGAACAAGGCACAGUGCUCUAGUAAGCUUUCUGCAAGCGCUGAAACUCCACAAACUGCAGAUUUUAAGAGUUUUCUUUUGGUUUUAGUAUCUCUAAGAGGAGGCGAUAUUAAGUAAUGGAUGGACAGCUGGACUUGGAAUAUGGAAGAUCUGGGUUCAAAUGGCACAAGACAUUUACUAGCUUGACGAUCCUGGGCAAGUCACAUAACCUCUGUACCCUGGGUAACUGUGACUUAUAAACCAAGUCUCAUUUAUCGGGUGAAAUGAUUACUAGGCAUCUUGUGGCCCUCUAUGCUCUUCUUGAGCAUGAACCCAGUUUCCCCCUCUGCUCCAAAAGAAGCUCAAGAUUCCUGAUUCUAGUCUAUCUUCUAGUUUGUUGGGGGUAAGACUCCAUGGAGAACCUAAUCAUCCAGACUCCUGAUAUAGCUGGGGGAUGGAAUCUUAGGGAGGACCUCAGAAUGACAGAAAAGCACUUAGUCCAGUCUACUCGGUUCAAGAGUUUGGUAGUGUUUUUUUUUUUUUUACAAAGUCAUUCAGUCUAUUUAAAGAAUUUCAGUGAGGGGGCAGCUGGAUAGAGAGUUGGGCCCAGAGACAGGAGGUCCUGGGUUCAAAUAUGACCUCAGAUACUUCCCAGCUGUGUGACCCUGGGCAAGUCACUUGACCCCCAUUGCCUAGCCCUUACUGCUCUUCUGCUUUGGAACCAAUACACAGUAUUGAUUCCAAGUCAGAAGGUAAGGGUUUAAAUAGAAAAUUUUAAAAAAGAAUUUUAGUGAAAGGGAAAUCAUCACCUCAUAAGACCACUAGGAAGGGAUAUCAUUCUAGAAUUGGAAAGUACCUUAAAAGUCGUCUGUUCGCCAUAUUCUACUUGAUUUCCUUCAUGAGUUUUUUGUUGCAUAUUUGCUAUGUGUCUUCUGCCAGGGCAUGAACAAUAUGGAAAUAUGUAUUGCAUGAAAGCACUGGUGAACACACUGUUAUAACCUAGAGCAGACUAUGUACCAGUGGAGGAAGGGAAGAAGUGAAGCUGAAUCAUAAACUGUCAGGAAGGGGGCAGCUGGGUGGCUCAGUGGAUUGAGAGCCAGGCCUAGAGAUGGGAGGUCCUGGGUUCAAAUGUGGCCUCAGACACUUCCCAGCUGUGUGACCCUGGGCAAGUCACUUAACCCCCAUUGCCUAGCCCUUACUGCUCUUCUGCCUUGGAGCCAAUACACAGUAUUAAUUCCAAUAUGGAAGGUAUGGGUUAUAAAAGUAAAAAUAAUUUUUUUUUCAAUUUAACAAAUCAAAUAAAAUGUCAGGAAAUAAUUGUCAAAAUUUGUUUCUACAUGUAAUUUUUUUUUUAGUGAAACUAAACCAAAAAAAGAUGAUAACUCUUUGAAGGCAAGAACUACUUCAUUUUUGAAUUGUAGCCCCAGGAUCUGAUAUAAUAGGCUUAAAUGGUUUUUUUAUUUAAAAAAAGGAAAAGAAGGAUAUCAUCCAUUCCAGACCCAUCAUUUUAUAGAUAAGGAAAAGGAGGCACAAGAGGGGGAAAUCCCUUGCCUAAGGUCACUCAAGUCAUGAGUGGCUGAGCCAGGGUUUGCAUUCAGAUUUGCUUCUGGCCACAUAGGUAGCAAGCCCAAGGCAGAAGGAGGUGUGCAACCCCAGUCUCUAGGCUCCAAGUCCACGGCUCUUUUCCCUGCCUCUCGGGCUUGACAGGUCUGAAAUGAGCUGACCUGAAUGAAGUUGAAAUGGAUUUGACAUUGUUCAUUAAGCCAAUCAAUUCAGCUUCCUUAUAACUAGAAUCUCUUUUACAAAUGGAGUGUAAAUCCAUUUUUCUUUCUCAUGUAGAAUGUUGCUAGGUAGCACAGUAGAUUGAGAACUAGUCCUGGAGUCCAGAGAACCUGGGUUCAAAUUUAACCUCAGAUACUUCUUAGCUCUGUGACCCUGGGAGAGUGACUUAACCCCCAUUGCCUAGCCCUUGCUGUUCUUCUGUCUUAGAACUGGUACUAAAACAGAAGAUAAGAGCUUUGGGUUUGGGGAAUUAUUUUAAUUCCCUCUAUGGGGGACAGCUGAGUGAUUCAGUGAAUUGAGAGCCAGGCCUAGAGACUGGAGGUCCUGGGUUCAAAUCUCUCCUCCGACACUUAGCUAUGUGACCCUGGGCAAGUCACUUAACCUCCACUGCCCAGUUCUUACCACUCUCCUGCCUUGGAACCAAUAGACACAGUAUUGGUUCUAAGACAGAAGAUAAAGGCUUAAAAAAAUGAUCUUGGUAAUUAUCCCCUUAAUGUUAAACCAAAAGCUGAAUCCCUUAGACUUCCAUUAGAUACUAAAAAUUUGCCCCCUGGACACUCACAGAGGUGACAGGGUAUCUGGGAAGUAAGUUUUCUCAUACCCAUUGAUUGCAAUUUGUUAGAAUCUAGAGGCUUUUCACCUACAUAUCAAAUAUCAGAGCUAUUUGUGGGGUAGAAGGGAAGAGGAAGAUGAAUAUGUUACUAGAAAGAAUCGUGGGGGGUUUGGGAAGUAAAAGAAUCUUCUUAGAAGUCUAGCUCAGUGACUUAAAAUUUAGGUGACCAUAAACCAGUCAUUUACCUUCUCCAAGAUUUGAGGUAUUCAUCUGUACAAGGGAGUAGGACUCCCCAAUAUCUAAGAUGCCCUCUAGCUCUAUUUCCGUGCUCCUAUAAUUAAAAUAUUGGUAAUAAUAAAUAGUGGAUUUGUGCUUGUUCUGACAA
Non-coding RNA from Monodelphis domestica (gray short-tailed opossum), 9354 nucleotides. The record is from RefSeq and is a predicted model, not a curated record. Lineage: Eukaryota; Metazoa; Chordata; Mammalia; Didelphimorphia; Didelphidae.